CCUACGGGAGGCAGCAGUAAGGAAUAUUGGUCAAUGGAGGCAACUCUGAACCAGCCAUGCCGCGUGCAGGAAGACUGCCCUAUGGGUUGUAAACUGCUUUUAUCCGGGAAUAAACCUGCUUACGUGUAAGUAGCUGAAUGUACCGGAAGAAUAAGGAUCGGCUAACUCCGUGCCAGCAGCCGCGGUAAUACGGAGGAUCCAAGCGUUAUCCGGAUUUAUUGGGUUUAAAGGGUGCGUAGGCGGCCUGUUAAGUCAGGGGUGAAAGACGGUAGCUCAACUAUCGCAGUGCCCUUGAUACUGAUGGGCUUGAAUGGACUAGAGGUAGGCGGAAUGAGACAAGUAGCGGUGAAAUGCAUAGAUAUGUCUCAGAACACCGAUUGCGAAGGCAGCUUACUAUGGUCUUAUUGACGCUGAGGCACGAAAGCGUGGGGAUCAAACAGGAUUAGAUACCCUGGUAGUCCACGCCCUAAACGAUGAACACUCGCUGUUGGCGAUACACAGUCAGCGGCUAAGCGAAAGCGUUAAAGUGUUCCAACCUGGGGGUAGGUUACGCCGCCGAGGUUAGGAACGUUAAAGUUAAGUUAGUAGGACGNGAGAGAGCGACGACGACGACGAGGAGGAGGAGG
This 626-nucleotide ribosomal RNA is filed under the name uncultured bacterium. RNAcentral describes it as "bacterial SSU rRNA". The stretch from base 1 to 537 matches the Rfam family "Bacterial small subunit ribosomal RNA", at positions 338 to 873 of the family's 1533-position model. The record is from RNAcentral.